Molecule: ribosomal RNA, 322 nt
Filed under: uncultured eukaryote
Lineage: Eukaryota
Description: partial 18S ribosomal RNA
Rfam family: Eukaryotic small subunit ribosomal RNA
Source: RNAcentral
CCCUUAGAUGUUCUGGGCCGCACGCGUGCUACACUGAGUAAUUCAAUGGGUAAGGGAACGCUAGAGCAUUACCUAAUCUUGAAAUUUGCUCGUGAUGGGGAUCGACGGUUGCAAUUUUCCGUCGUGAACGAGGAAUACCUUGUAGGCGCAUGUCAUCAUCAUGCGCAGAAUACGUCCCUGCCCUUUGUACACACCGCCCGUCGCUCCUACCGAUUGAGUGAUCCGGUGAGGCUCUGGGACCUGGACGGAAAGAGCGUUUCGCUUGUUCUGUUUGGGAAACUUGGUCGAACCUUAUCAUUUAGAGGAAGGAGAAGUCGUAACA